UCAAGUACUCCAUUCCUCAGCCACCAGGCAGACAGAGCGUGGAAGUCUACUACCCCUAUGACUUCUCCCAGCAAAGGAUAAUAACAAACCUUCCUCCCAUGACAAAUAACCCUUCAGUGCCAGAUAUCCUCCCAUUUGAUUACCCUCCGC
Molecule: long non-coding RNA, 150 nt
Organism: Salarias fasciatus (jewelled blenny)
Lineage: Eukaryota; Metazoa; Chordata; Actinopteri; Blenniiformes; Blenniidae
Exons: 4
Source: RefSeq, a predicted model, not a curated record